This 468-nucleotide ribosomal RNA is filed under the name uncultured bacterium. RNAcentral describes it as "partial 16S ribosomal RNA". It matches the Rfam family "Bacterial small subunit ribosomal RNA", at positions 28 to 507 of the family's 1533-position model. The record is from RNAcentral.
GACGAACGCUGGCGGCGUGCUUAACACAUGCAAGUCGAACGGAAAGGCCCUGCUUUUGUGGGGUUCUCGAGUGGCGAACGGGUGAGUAACACGUGAGUAACCUGCCCUUGACUUUGGGAUAACUUCAGGAAACUGGGGCUAAUACCGGAUAGGAGCUCCUGCUGCAUUGUGGGGGUUGGAAAGUUUCGGCGGUUGGGGAUGGACUCGCGGCUUAUCAGCUUGUUGGUGGGGUAGUGGCUUACCAAGGCUUUGACGGGUAGCCGGCCUGAGAGGGUGACCGGGCACAAUGGGACUGAGAUACGGCCCAGACUGCAACGGGAGGCAGCAGUGGGGAAUAUUGCACAAUGGGAGGAAGCCUGAUGAAGCAAAGCCGCGUGCGGGAUGACGGCCUUCGGGUUGUAAACCGCUUUCGCCUGUGACGAAGCGUGAGUGACGGUAAUGGGUAAAGAAGCACCGGCUAACUACGUG